This 380-nucleotide ribosomal RNA is filed under the name uncultured bacterium. RNAcentral's name for it is "partial 16S ribosomal RNA". It matches the Rfam family "Bacterial small subunit ribosomal RNA", at positions 338 to 732 of the family's 1533-position model. The record is from RNAcentral.
CCUACGGGGGGCUGCAGUGGGGAAUAUUGGGCAAUGGAGGCAACUCUGACCCAGCAACGCCGCGUGAAUGAUGAAGGUCCUCGGAGUGUUAAGUUCUUUUCUAAGGGAAGAAGAAAGUGACGGUACCUUAGGAAUAAGCCUCGGCUAACUACAUGCCAGCAGCCGCGGUAAUACGUAGGAGGCAAGCGUUAUGCGGAAUGACUGGGCGUAAAGGGUGCGUAGGUGGUUUGACAAGUUGGUAGCGUAACUCCGGGGCUCAACUUCGGAACUACUACCAAAACUGUUGGACUCGAGUGCAAGAGGGGUAACUGGAAUUUGUAGUGUAGCGGUGGAAUGCGUAGAUAUUAGGAAGAACACCGAUGGCGAAGGCGAGAUGCUGG